UACGUAGGGUGCGAGCGUUAAUCGGAAUUACUGGGCGUAAAGCGUGCGCAGGCGGUUUUGUAAGCCAGAUGUGAAAUCCCCGGGCUUAACCUGGGAAUGGCAUUUGGGACUGCAAGGCUGGAGUGCGGCAGAGGAGACUGGAAUUCCUGGUGUAGCAGUGAAAUGCGUAGAUAUCAGGAGGAACACCGAUGGCGAAGGCAGCCCCCUGGGCUGAGAUUGACGCUCAGGCACGAAAGCGUGGGGAGCAAACAGG
This 253-nucleotide ribosomal RNA is filed under the name uncultured bacterium. RNAcentral's name for it is "partial 16S ribosomal RNA". It matches the Rfam family "Bacterial small subunit ribosomal RNA", at positions 524 to 776 of the family's 1533-position model. The record is from RNAcentral.